This 76-nucleotide transfer RNA is filed under the name Camelus bactrianus (Bactrian camel). It matches the Rfam family "tRNA". From Rfam's summary of the family: Transfer RNA (tRNA) molecules are approximately 80 nucleotides in length. Their secondary structure includes four short double-helical elements and three loops (D, anti-codon, and T loops). Further hydrogen bonds mediate the characteristic L-shaped molecular structure. tRNAs have two regions of fundamental functional importance: the anti-codon, which is responsible for specific mRNA codon recognition, and the 3' end, to which the tRNAs corresponding amino acid is attached (by aminoacyl-tRNA synthetases). tRNAs cope with the degeneracy of the genetic code in two manners: having more than one tRNA (with a specific anti-codon) for a particular amino acid; and 'wobble' base-pairing, i.e. permitting non-standard base-pairing at the 3rd anti-codon position. The record is from Rfam by way of RNAcentral. RNAcentral also lists the same sequence under 2 other names. Lineage: Eukaryota; Metazoa; Chordata; Mammalia; Artiodactyla; Camelidae.
GACGGUAUAACUCAGUGGUAGAGUGUGUGCUUAAUUAGCAUGCAAGAGGUCCUGGGUUCAAUCCCCAGUCCCUCCA